GAUAUUAUUGAUUUCUCACCUUCUAAAGAACCGUAAUGCCAUUAAUUUGGUGUCACGGGGAAUUAGGACUGUUACCUUGAAAAAAUUAGAGUGUUUAAAGCAGGCUCACGCUUGAAUACAUUAGCAUGGAAUAAUGAAAUAGGACAUCCGAUUCUAUUUUGUUGGUUUCUAGGAUCGAUGUAAUGAUUAA
This 190-nucleotide ribosomal RNA is filed under the name uncultured Glomeromycotina. RNAcentral's name for it is "partial 18S ribosomal RNA". It matches the Rfam family "Eukaryotic small subunit ribosomal RNA", at positions 681 to 872 of the family's 1831-position model. Lineage: Eukaryota; Fungi; Glomeromycota. The record is from RNAcentral.